RNAcentral lists this ribosomal RNA (559 nucleotides) under uncultured bacterium. RNAcentral's name for it is "partial 16S ribosomal RNA". It matches the Rfam family "Bacterial small subunit ribosomal RNA", at positions 355 to 905 of the family's 1533-position model. The record is from RNAcentral.
UGGGGAAUUUUGGACAAUGGGCGAAAGCCUGAUCCAGCAAUGCCGCGUGUGUGAAGAAGGCCUUCGGGUUGUAAAGCACUUUUGUCCGGAAAGAAAUGGCUCUGGUUAAUACCUGGGGUCGAUGACGGUACCGGAAGAAUAAGGACCGGCUAACUACGUGCCAGCAGCCGCGGUAAUACGUAGGGUCCAAGCGUUAAUCGGAAUUACUGGGCGUAAAGCGUGCGCAGGCGGUUGUGCAAGACCGAUGUGAAAUCCCCGAGCUUAACUUGGGAAUUGCAUUGGUGACUGCACGGCUAGAGUGUGUCAGAGGGGGGUAGAAUUCCACGUGUAGCAGUGAAAUGCGUAGAGAUGUGGAGGAAUACCGAUGGCGAAGGCAGCCCCCUGGGAUAACACUGACGCUCAUGCACGAAAGCGUGGGGAGCAAACAGGAUUAGAUACCCUGGUAGUCCACGCCCUAAACGAUGUCAACUAGUUGUUGGGGAUUCAUUUCCUUAGUAACGUAGCUAACGCGUGAAGUUGGACCGCCUGGGGAGUACGGUCGCAAGAUUAAAAGCUCAAA